GCCUAAUACAUGCAAGUCGAACGAAGCUAGUUACAUGAAAGUGCUUGCACCGGAUUGUAACAGUGUUUAGUGGCGAACGGGUGAGUAACACGUAAGCAAUCUACCUUUAAGAAGGGAAUAAUUUCCGGAAACGGAUUGUAAUACCCUAUAGGAUAUUCGAAGGCAUCUUCUGAAUAUUUAAAGGCGUUUAGGUAACUAAUCGUCACUUAAAGAUGAGCUUGCGCCGCAUUAGCUUGUUGGUGGGUAAUGGCCUACCAAGGUGAUGAUGCGUAGCCGGCCUGAGAGGGUGAACGGCCACACUGGGACUGAGACACGGCCCAGACUCCUACGGGAGGCAGCAGUAGGGAAUUUUCCACAAUGGACGUAAGUCUGAUGGGGCGAUGCCGCGUGAACGAUGAAGGUUUUCGGAUCGUAAAGUUCUGUUGUAAGGGAAGAAAAAGAAUGAUAGGAAAUGAUCAUUAAUUGACGGUACCUUACCAGAAAGCCACGGCUAACUACGUGCCAGCAGCCGCGGUAA
Molecule: ribosomal RNA, 517 nt
Filed under: uncultured bacterium
Lineage: Bacteria
Description: partial 16S ribosomal RNA
Rfam family: Bacterial small subunit ribosomal RNA
Source: RNAcentral